GCCGUUUUAGCUCAGUUGGUAGAGCAACGCUCUAGUAAAGCGUAGGUCGCUGGUCCGAGUCCAGUAAACGGCA
RNAcentral lists this transfer RNA (73 nucleotides) under Lacticaseibacillus pantheris. RNAcentral's name for it is "tRNA-Thr". It matches the Rfam family "tRNA". From Rfam's summary of the family: Transfer RNA (tRNA) molecules are approximately 80 nucleotides in length. Their secondary structure includes four short double-helical elements and three loops (D, anti-codon, and T loops). Further hydrogen bonds mediate the characteristic L-shaped molecular structure. tRNAs have two regions of fundamental functional importance: the anti-codon, which is responsible for specific mRNA codon recognition, and the 3' end, to which the tRNAs corresponding amino acid is attached (by aminoacyl-tRNA synthetases). tRNAs cope with the degeneracy of the genetic code in two manners: having more than one tRNA (with a specific anti-codon) for a particular amino acid; and 'wobble' base-pairing, i.e. permitting non-standard base-pairing at the 3rd anti-codon position. The record is from RNAcentral. RNAcentral also lists the same sequence under 1 other name. Lineage: Bacteria; Bacillati; Bacillota; Bacilli; Lactobacillales; Lactobacillaceae.